This 2078-nucleotide long non-coding RNA is filed under the name Medicago truncatula (barrel medic). Its description in RNAcentral is "lncRNA gene2555". Lineage: Eukaryota; Viridiplantae; Streptophyta; Magnoliopsida; Fabales; Fabaceae. The record is from RNAcentral.
UUUGAACUUUUUUUUUUUCUUUCUGUAAACUAUAUAUUGAAAUUUGUAUACAUAAGUCUUUCGACAAUUUUAAAAUACCUUAAUACAUCAAAUGGUUCUUAACUAAUUAUUUAUUCUGGAAAACAAUUAUUAUUUUUUGAAGGAUGGAAAACAAUUAUUUUUGAAAACUUGUUUAAUAUUUUAGGGAAAUUUAUUUUAUUUUUCGAUCUCAUAUCUAAAUCAUUGUCUUCUUAAUUGCAUAUGCCAAUUCAUCAUAAGCAGUUUCCCAAGCAACGCUGAAUUCCUCACUCCAUUUAUCUCCAACAACUUCUUUCAUAGUUUUGAGCAAUGCUUCUUUCACAACCUGUUGUAUAGCAACGAUAUCCUUAGCUUUCAUUAAGCAAUUUAGCUCUAUAAAAAAAUUAAGUAGAUGACAAGAAAAUUUGAGAAAAUUUAUUAGAAUUAAUUUUUAUUAAAUCUUAUCCUCUUAUGUUUAUAAUAGGGCCCUAUGAAAAAUAAAAUUAUAUACUCUUUUAUAUAUAUUUUUUUUAAAGAUACUCUUUUUAUAUUUUAGAAUGUAAAUAUUUUAUAAAGUUGUAAAUUUCUAGUUUUUAAUAUAUAUAUAUAUAUAUAUGUGUGUGUGUGUGUGUGUGUGGGUUUAUUAGUUUUGAAAUUGAAUUUCAUAUAUAUUAUCUUUAAUUAUUUCAUCCCAUUGAAAACAAUAUUUUGAAUUUGAAAAUUAAUUUGGGACUGCCCUAUUUAGUAUAUAAUUCAAUUUUGGUUUGUUAAAAAAAAAGUUUAAUUGAAUUGAAAGGUGUUUAUUUGUGGCAUUUUACUGCAUUAUGAAAUAAGCAAUUCUUAAAAUUAAUUAAAGGGGUUGAUUAAUUGCAAUACUUCAUACCAUGAAAUGACGAUCAGCUACUCCUUUUUGGGUGUGAACAACCCCCAACACAUUAUCUUCCAGCACGACUUCUCCUUUUACUUGGAGUUGAAUGGCCGCAUCACGCACCUAAAAUUAAAUAAAUAUUUUAUGAUAUGGUAAUGGUAUCAAGAAAUAAUAAUAAUAAUAAUAAUAAUAAUAAUAAUAAAAUUUAAUACAAUUUCUUGUACAUACUUGACUUAUCAUAUUCAAUAUAAAGAAUUUAGCGAUUUCAAUACAAUAGGAUGAAAGAAGAGCAUUCAUCGUUAUAGGAAAUGUCUUUAAAAAAAAAUGUUAUAGGAAAUGCCAAAGAUGCCAUUGAGUAUUUUUUUUUUCUACCUUAAAUAUUCACAUCAUUUUAUUAGUAUAUUUUACAAUUAUCAACUGUUUAUCCUUCUUUUUGGAUAAUAUAUUAGUCUUUUGUUGUUUUUAUAUUAUAUACAAUAAAACAUGAAUUCAACAUUAAUACUACAAAGUGAAUUUCUUGUUAACACUUCUUUAAUAAUCAUAAUCAUUUUUUGAGAAGUUAAUGACAUGUGAUGUUUCAUAGAUUAAAAUAUAUUUAACUUGACUUUGUAUUUUAUGGUCUAGAAGUAUUUCUUCCUUGACAAAUUAUUGUCUAUCUCUUCUUGUAUAAUGUGAAUGUGCAAACAAGUUUGUGAUUUUAUCUAAAAAUGAGGGGAAUUUAGUAAAGUUUGUUAGAAAAUUAAUUAUAAAAAAUUAAAGUGAUGGACAAGGGUAUAAAAUACACUUUAUGGAUACCAAAAAGAUUGAAGUUUGUGAGGGUUGAAUUGUACUCACCAUUCCAAAAACCAUCUCAGCAUGAGCAUUUGCACUAGGAUUACCUUGAAUAACCUCAUUAGAAUCCUUUAGAAAAGAAAACAUAUUUUUUGCUGCAGGUGUUUUCUCCAAUAUACUAUUUUAACAAAAUCAAUCAAAAUGUUUAUGUUUAAACCAUCCCUUAGGAAACACAUCAUACAACAAAUAAAGAAAAGUAUAAAUUGAAAAACAUAUUGAUAAGCAAAACUUACAAGGUGUAAAACAAAACACUAUAGAAAGGAAGGUUUUGAUUGAACGCUUCCCAUGAGCUGUUAACCAAUGCCUCUUGUCUUUGAGUGAAACUCAUAGUUCUCUCCUUUUUUUCAACUUUUUUUUUUUUUAAUUUAAUUUAGAAUUUUUC